RNAcentral lists this ribosomal RNA (466 nucleotides) under uncultured bacterium. RNAcentral's name for it is "partial 16S ribosomal RNA". It matches the Rfam family "Bacterial small subunit ribosomal RNA", at positions 28 to 523 of the family's 1533-position model. The record is from RNAcentral.
GAUGAACGCUGGCGGCGUGCCUAACACAUGCAAGUCGAGCGAACCCUUCGGGGUGAGCGGCGGACGGGUGAGUAACGCGUGGGUAACCUGCCCUGUACACACGGAUAACAUACCGAAAGGUAUGCUAAUACGGGCUAAUAUGCUUUAGUCGCAUGGCUGAAGUAUCAAAGCUCCGGCGGUACAGGAUGGACCCGCGUCUGAUUAGCUAGUUGGUAAGGUAAGGGCUUACCAAGGCGACGAUCAGUAGCCGACCUGAGAGGGUGAUCGGCCACAGUGGAACUGAGACACGGUCCAAACUCCUACGGGAGGCAGCAGUGGGGAAUAUUGCACAAUGGGCGAAAGCCUGAUGCAGCAACGCCGCGUGAGCGAUGAAGGCCUUCGGGUCGUAAAGCUCUGUCCUCAAGGAAGAUAAUGACGGUACUUGAGGAGGAAGCCCCGGCUAACUACGUGCCAGCCGCCGCUGUAA